AUAAUGUCUGCACCGCUUUCAGAUUUUUGCACUUUGAAAUACUCUGUAAAUACCCCCUUACAUCCAUUUUAAACUGCUCAAACACAGGGGUCUUCCCAGACCACCUCAUUUUAUGUAUAUAAUAACGUGCCGUUAUAAUCGUUACAUUUAUUACAAACGACAUUUUGAUAUUGUUUUCGAUGGGGCUGAAACUUCACCUAACAUCUUUUUCAUCACAACAAUUAUCAAUAUGGGUUUCUGUUUUAAUACAAGUCUGCAACUUAGUCCAGGAAAUGUUUACCCCGGGACAGAACCCAAACACGUGCCGAAUAGUUUCAGGGCUAUCGUCACAAAAAACACAUCGGUCGUCUAUAUUGGUUUCAGAUCGCUGGGUAACAGGAGUCUUAACUGGGUAACAUUCACGGCAGCAACACAUCCGGGGAAGGACACCAGCUGCUGCUGACUCAGUUAGCCGACUGGAGGGAGGGACAGUGCUCAGUCUCUUGCAGUUCAUUGGUUCAUUCGUGCUGUAGGCGUGACUGAACCCUCUACAUUUCAGUUAAUCAAUAAGGCAGAGGCUUUGGCCUAACUGCUGCCUGUCCCAGCCAAAAGCACAUAGAAAUGUUGUACCGAGGGCGGGUUCUGUGAGGACGGAGGCGGAGACGGAGACUCAGACACGGCGCUGUGUUUCUCCCCUCGUCGCCGGGAUCUGCCAGCAGCACCGCCGCGGCCCGUCCAGAGAGGCAGAGAGACAGAGCGGGUCACGGCUCUCACUCCAGAACAACAACACUUUUUUUAUCUGGGCUCUCCUUUCCGGGUAUUUUUUUCCUCUUAAAAGAAAAAGGGCAUCGCCCGUCUGUUCUUCACGUUUGCGAGACGACUUGGUGUGAUGACAGAGUCUGUCUAGUGGCCCAAUUGUUACAUGAAGAGGGCAGAUUGUUUACUGACUUUAUGGAAAAUAAGAUUCCUCUUACUCUCCGAGAACACGCUAUGGUCUUUGAUACUGUUCCCGAGAAAGUGGUGAGGCUGUUUAGAGGUAGUCUCGGCCUUGCAAAUAGAUUAUCUUCUGAUAAUUUAUUGUUGGAUGGAAUAGAUAUAAGAAAUGCAAUAAUUACUAUGUUAGGAACUUGUGUAAGUCAUGUUAUACAUUCUUGUAUCUCCUUUUGGAAUGCUAUGUUUAGGAACAUAAAUAGGAAAUUAGUGUGGUCAAAUCCUGAUAAAUAUUGUCUUACAAAUAAAGUUAAAGACAUUUCAUUUAAGAUUGCUCACAGAUUUUUAUCCUGUUAAAUUGACACUUUCUAGAUUUAAACAUGAGCAAGAUGAGUUCUGUGUAUUUUGUAAUGAUGAGAAGGAAUCUUAAAUUACAUUUGUUUCACUGCAUAUAAACAGAAUUGUUUUGGAUAGAUCUGCAAAAUAUGAAUGCUCAACACUUAGUUAAACGUUAAACUGAAAGAUUCUCAUUUUAUAUUUUGUUAGAUCUGAUUUGGAUAAAGGAUGUUUUUAUUAAUCUGUUGAAUAUUUUGGCUUAAUAUUUUACCCACAAAUCUAAAUGGUCUAAUACUGCUCCCUCUAUUCAUGCUUUUAAAGUUGACUUCCUUUUUUAUUUAAAAUUCUAUUAGAAAUUUAAAGAAUCAAAAGGCAAGAAAUACAGUGGAAAUGUGUAAAGCUUUUAGUUUGCGCAAUUGUGAAUUCCCCCGGCUGUGAAGUGUCUCUCUCCGUGUACAUCUCACUAUUUUGUCUCCUUUUUUGUUUUUGGUGUUUAAAUAACUUAAAUUUUAACAAAAAUAAUUCGGCACAGGCGUAAACCUUCCUUUUGACAAAAUGGCGGCGGGGCGGUGGCCGUCAUGGCGACCGACUGUGCUCGAAAC
Lepisosteus oculatus (spotted gar) is the source of this 1847-nucleotide non-coding RNA. Lineage: Eukaryota; Metazoa; Chordata; Actinopteri; Semionotiformes; Lepisosteidae. The record is from RefSeq and is a predicted model, not a curated record.